UACGUAGGUGGCAAGCGUUGUCCGGAUUUACUGGGCGUAAAGAGCGCGCAGGCGGCUGGGCAAGUCCGAUGUGAAAGCUUCCGGCUUCGAACUGGAAAAUUGCAUCGGAAACUGCUCGGCUUGAAGGUGGGAGAGGGUAGCGGAAUUCCCGGUGUAGUGGUGAAAUGCGUAGAUAUCGGGAGGAACACCAGUGGCGAAGGCGGCUACCUGGCCCACUCUUGACGCUGAGGCGCGAAAGCUAGGGGAGCAAACGGG
RNAcentral lists this ribosomal RNA (255 nucleotides) under uncultured bacterium. RNAcentral describes it as "partial 16S ribosomal RNA". It matches the Rfam family "Bacterial small subunit ribosomal RNA", at positions 524 to 776 of the family's 1533-position model. The record is from RNAcentral.